GCCUACGGCCAUACCACCCUGAACACGCCCAAUGUCGUCUGAUCUCGGAAGCUAAGCAGGGUCGGGACUGGUUAGUACUUGGAUGGGAGACCGCCUGGGAAUACCAGGUGUUGUAGGCU
Molecule: ribosomal RNA, 119 nt
Filed under: Pelobates cultripes (western spadefoot toad)
Lineage: Eukaryota; Metazoa; Chordata; Amphibia; Anura; Pelobatidae
Source: RNAcentral